Molecule: ribosomal RNA, 483 nt
Filed under: uncultured bacterium
Lineage: Bacteria
Description: partial 16S ribosomal RNA
Rfam family: Bacterial small subunit ribosomal RNA
Source: RNAcentral
GACGAACGCUGGCGGCGUGCUUAACACAUGCAAGUCGAGCGAGACCCCGCUUUCGGGUGGGUGUUCUAGCGGCGAACGGGUGAGUAACGCGUGGGCAACCUGCCCUCAGCUCUGGGAUAACUCCAAGAAAUUGGGGCUAAUACCGGAUAUGACCGCUGACCGCAUGGUCUGGUGGUGGAGAGAUUUAUCGGCUGGGGAUGGGCCCGCGGCCUAUCAGCUUGUUGGUGGGGUAGUGGCCUACCAAGGCGACGACGGGUAGCCGGCCUGAGAGGGUGACCGGCCACACUGGGACUGAGACACGGCCCAGACUCCUACGGGAGGCAGCAGUGGGGAAUAUUGCGCAAUGGGCGAAAGCCUGACGCAGCGACGCCGCGUGGGGGAUGACGGCCUUCGGGUUGUAAACCUCUCUCAGCAGGGACGAAGCGAAAGUGACGGUACCUGCAGAAGAAGCACCGGCCAACUACGUGCCAGCCGCCGCAGUAA